Glycine soja is the source of this 1146-nucleotide long non-coding RNA. RefSeq lists it as uncharacterized. The record is from RefSeq and is a predicted model, not a curated record. NCBI's taxonomy places the organism in Eukaryota, Viridiplantae, Streptophyta, Magnoliopsida, Fabales, Fabaceae. The transcript is spliced from 3 exons.
AGGGUUGUUGUACCGUAUCGUUUGUUCUACUUUCUUUGUCGAGUGACGCAAAAGGGUUACUGUGCGUAUCAUUGUAAUCACUAAUCAGAUGCAUCCGGUGCCAAAUCUAGGAAAAGCAACCUUGAAGUCAUCGAGAUUUUAUAGUCUGACAUCUGGAAUUUAAAUGUCUCAACAAGGGCGUUAGAUCCAACAACGUUCCACAAUGCUAAUGGGAGAAUUCAAAUUUGGGACCUCUCUCUCAUUUCUUCUCCUUUCACGCUUUGAAACAAAUAAAGGACACCCGAGAUCCCCGUAGAAGCUCUUGUUGGAAAAUUUAGAUUUCAAAUGUCAGAUUAUAAAACAUGGGUGACUUCAAAAUGUGAGUUUCACAAAUCCAUGUUUUCGUUCCUAAGAGCGAUAAUAAAAACUGCUCGCAGAUUGGAACGUAAGCAUAACACUUUUUGUUCUUGAGUUUAUAUGCUUGCUAGCCCUGAAAUGCAGGUUGCGAGAGAGGAUGGAGUGGAGGAUCGCUUUCCCUUAAAGUGAUAGGAAGAUUGGGAUCAACAAGUGACCACAAUGGUGUGGCAAAGCAGACUAACCUGCCUAAUUCUUUCUAAAGAAGGGCAGGAUGAGUUGGCCCAUCAUGAAAAGUGGGUUGCAAAAUACAACUCACCCUGUUUAGAUGAUGAGAAGAUAGAAACAAUCAACGUUAUGGACAAGUUAGACUCCAUGAAUUUGUCUAAUUUCUAGUAGCAUGGUACAAUAACUAUUAUCAACAAUGGCAUUUAUCCACAGGGGUUUUGUCACUUUGAAUAACUGAUUGCUGCCCAUUUGCAAGGAAAAAUGCAACAAACGCUGGUAACUACUACCACGUUAAACACUUUACCAUGGUGUAUUAGAUGGUGUGUCGAGCAAAAGCCACAACAGGUACCUUGUAUAUUCACUGGUUAAUUAUUGUUCUUACCUUUUUCUAGAAGCAGGGUAGUGCAUGCUUCAAUCCAUAAUGUGUUUACAUGAGUCCCGGGAAGAAAAGGAAUUAACUAAAAGUUCUCUAAGAUGUAUCCAGAAGAAAGUAUUCUAAAAUGUCACUACGUUUUCACUUCUUCAUAAAAGCCUAAAAACGUUCGUUUUCAGAUUUGGGUCUAUUUUUUGAAAAUAUUUUCUUCU